Molecule: ribosomal RNA, 562 nt
Filed under: Hylophasma debilis
Lineage: Eukaryota; Metazoa; Arthropoda; Insecta; Hymenoptera; Ichneumonidae
Description: partial 16S large subunit ribosomal RNA
Source: RNAcentral
GUUUAUAAUUUAAAGUYUAAUCUGCUCCAUGAAUUUAUUAAAUAGCUGCAGAAUUUUWACUGUMCAAAGGUAGCAUAAUCAAUAGUUUUUUAAUUGAAAGCUGGAAUGAAYGAUUUGAUAAAGUAAAUAUUGUCUCAUAUUAMAUAAUUUUAGAACUUUUUUUUUUGUUAAAAAACAAAAAUGAAUUUAAAAGACSAGAAGACCCUAWAGACUUUAAUAUUUUUAUAUUAAUAAAAUUAAAAUUAAUUAAUAAAUUUUAAUAAAAAAAUAUUUGAUUGGGGAAAUUAUUAAAUUUAAUAAAUUUUAAUAUAAUAAAAACAAUAAUUAUUGAAUAAUAGAUUUUAAAUAAAAAUUAUAAGAAUAAAGUACCUUAGGGAUAACAGCGUAAUUUUUUUGGAGAGAUCUUAUUUAUAAAAAAGUUUGCGACCUCGAUGUUNGAAUUAASAUAAAGUUUUAUUGGAGAAAAUAAAAAWUUUUGGWCUGUUCSACCAUUAAAAUCUUACCGGAUCUGAGGUCAAACCGGACAACGAUUAAAGUCCUACGUGAUCUGAGUUCAGACCGG